Felis catus (domestic cat) is the source of this 85-nucleotide non-coding RNA. NCBI's taxonomy places the organism in Eukaryota, Metazoa, Chordata, Mammalia, Carnivora, Felidae. The record is from Rfam.
GCCUGGGUGGCUCAGUCGGGUAAGUGUCCGACUUCGGCUCAGGUCGUGAUCUCACGGCUUGUGAGUUCGAGUCCCACCUCGGGCA